AUUGAACGCUGGCGGCAGGCCUAACACAUGCAAGUCGAACGGCAGCGGGGGGUAGCUUGCUACCCCGCCGGCGAGUGGCGGACGAGUGAGUAAUGCCUGGGGAGCUGCCCAAUCGAGGGGGAUACCAGUUGGAAACGACUGCUAAUACCGCAUACGCCCUGAGGGGGAAAGGUGGGGAUCUUCGGACCUACCGCGAUUGGAUGCACCCAGGUGGGAUUAGCUAGUUGGUGAGGUAACGGCUCACCAAGGCGACGAUCUCUAGCUGUUCUGAGAGGAUGACCAGCCACACUGGAACUGAGACACGGUCCAGACUCCUACGGGAGGCAGCAGUGGGGAAUAUUGCACAAUGGGGGAAACCCUGAUGCAGCCAUGCCGCGUGUGUGAAGAAGGCCUUAGGGUUGUAAAGCACUUUCAGUGGGGAGGAAAGGGUGGAAGCUAAUACCUUUCAUCUGUGACGUUACCCACAGAAGAAGCACCGGCUAACUCCGUGCCAGCCGCCGCCGUAA
Molecule: ribosomal RNA, 506 nt
Filed under: uncultured bacterium
Lineage: Bacteria
Description: partial 16S ribosomal RNA
Rfam family: Bacterial small subunit ribosomal RNA
Source: RNAcentral